This 1441-nucleotide ribosomal RNA is filed under the name uncultured marine cyanobacterium. RNAcentral's name for it is "partial 16S ribosomal RNA". It matches the Rfam family "Bacterial small subunit ribosomal RNA". The record is from RNAcentral. Lineage: Bacteria; Bacillati; Cyanobacteriota.
GAGUUUGAUCAUGGCUCAGGAUGAACGCUGGCGGCGUGCUUAACACAUGCAAGUCGAACGAACCUUCGGGUUAGUGGCGGACGGGUGAGUAACGCGUGGGAAUCUGCCCUCAGGAGGGGGAUAACGGUUGGAAACGACCGCUAAUACCCCAUAUGCCGAGAGGUGAAAUGAAUUUCGCCUGAGGAUGAGCCCGCGUCUGAUUAGCUUGUUGGUGAGGUAAUGGCUCACCAAGGCAUCGAUCAGUAGCUGGUCUGAGAGGAUGAUCAGCCACACUGGGACUGAGACACGGCCCAGACUCCUACGGGAGGCAGCAGUGGGGAAUUUUCCGCAAUGGGCGAAAGCCUGACGGAGCAACGCCGCGUGAGGGACGAAGGCCUCUGGGCUGUAAACCUCUUUUCUCAAGGAAGAAGAUAUGACGGUACUUGAGGAAUAAGCCACGGCUAAUUCCGUGCCAGCAGCCGCGGUAAUACGGGAGUGGCAAGCGUUAUCCGGAAUUAUUGGGCGUAAAGCGUCCGCAGGCGGCCCUUCAAGUCUGCUGUUAAAACGUGGAGCUUAACUCCAUCAUGGCAGUGGAAACUGAUUGGCUUGAGUAUGGUAGGGGCAGAGGGAAUUCCCGGUGUAGCGGUGAAAUGCGUAGAUAUCGGGAAGAACACCAGUGGCGAAGGCGCUCUGCUGGGCCAUUACUGACGCUCAUGGACGAAAGCCAGGGGAGCGAAAGGGAUUAGAUACCCCUGUAGUCCUGGCCAUAAACGAUGAACACUAGGUGUCGGGGGAAUCGACCCCUUCGGUGUCGUAGCUAACGCGUUAAGUGUUCCGCCUGGGGAGUACGCACGCAAGUGUGAAACUCAAAGGAAUUGACGGGGGCCCGCACAAGCGGUGGAGUAUGUGGUUUAAUUCGAUGCAACGCGAAGAACCUUACCAGGGCUUGACAUACUGCAAAUUUUCUUGAAAGAGAAAAGUGCCUUCGGGAAUGCAGAUACAGGUGGUGCAUGGCUGUCGUCAGCUCGUGUCGUGAGAUGUUGGGUUAAGUCCCGCAACGAGCGCAACCCUCGUUUUUAGUUGCCAUUUUAUGGGUUCUCUAGAAAGACUGCCGGUGACAAACCGGAGGAAGGUGGGGAUGACGUCAAGUCAGCAUGCCCCUUAUGCCCUGGGCUACACACGUGCUACAAUGGCUAAGACAAAGAGUCGCGAAUUCGCGAGAAUCAGCUAAUCUCAUAAACUUAGUCUAAGUUCAGAUUGUAGGCUGCAACUCGCCUACAUGAAGUUGGAAUCGCUAGUAAUCGCUGGUCAGCCAUACAGCGGUGAAUCCGUUCCCGGGCCUUGUACACACCGCCCGUCACACCAUGGGAGCUGGUCAUGCCCGAAACCGUUUGCUUAACCUUUUGGAGAGCGACGUCUAAGGUAGGGCUAGUGACUGGGGUGAAGUCGUAACAAGGUAACC